This 253-nucleotide ribosomal RNA is filed under the name uncultured bacterium. Its description in RNAcentral is "partial 16S ribosomal RNA". It matches the Rfam family "Bacterial small subunit ribosomal RNA", at positions 524 to 776 of the family's 1533-position model. The record is from RNAcentral.
UACGGGGGGAGCGAGCGUUGUUCGGAAUCACUGGGCGUAAAGGGCGCGUAGGCGGCUGGAUAAGUCAGAGGUGAAAUGCCAGGGCUUAACCUUGGAACUGCCUUUGAUACUGUCUGGCUAGAGGGCGGAAGAGGAUAGUGGAAUUCCUGGUGUAGCGGUGAAAUGCGUAGAUAUCAGGAAGAACACCGGUGGCGAAGGCGGCUAUCUGGUCCGCUACUGACGCUGAGGCGCGAAAGCCAGGGGAGCAAACGGG